Molecule: ribosomal RNA, 460 nt
Filed under: uncultured bacterium
Lineage: Bacteria
Description: partial 16S ribosomal RNA
Rfam family: Bacterial small subunit ribosomal RNA
Source: RNAcentral
CCUACGGGCGGCCGCAGUGAGGAAUAUUGGUCAAUGGGCGCGAGCCUGAACCAGCCAAGUAGCGGGAAGGAUGACUGCCCUACGGGUUGUAAACUUCUUUUAUAAAGGAAUAAAGUGAGGCACGUGUGCCUUUUUGUAUGUACUUUAUGAAUAAGGAUCGGCUAACUCCGUGCCAGCCGCCGCGGGAAUACGGAGGAACCGAGGGUUAUCCGGAUUGCUUGGGUUUAAAGGGAGCGUAGAUGGGUGGUUAAGUCAGUUGUGAAAGUUUGCGGCUCAACCGUAAAAUUGCAAUUGAUACUGGCAGCCUUGAGUACAGUUGAGGUAGGCGGAAUUCGUGGUGUAGCGGUGAAAUGCUUAGAUAUCACGAAGAACUCCGAUUGCGAAGGCAGCUUACUAAACUGCCACUGACAUUGAUGCUCGAAAGUGUGGGUAUCAAACAGGAUUAGAUACCCUAGUAGUC